UACGUAGGGGGCAAGCGUUGUCCGGAUUUAUUGGGCGUAAAGAGCGUGUAGGCGGCUUUACAGGUCCGUUGUGAAAACUCGAGGCUCAACCUCGAGACGCCGGUGGAAACCGUAAAGCUAGAGUCCGGAAGAGGAGAGUGGAAUUCCUGGUGUAGCGGUGAAAUGCGCAGAUAUCAGGAGGAACACCCGUGGCGAAAGCGGCUCUCUGGGACGGUACUGACGCUGAGACGCGAAGCGUGGGAGCAAAGCAGGAUGAGAACC
This 261-nucleotide ribosomal RNA is filed under the name uncultured bacterium. Its description in RNAcentral is "partial 16S ribosomal RNA". It matches the Rfam family "Bacterial small subunit ribosomal RNA", at positions 524 to 785 of the family's 1533-position model. The record is from RNAcentral.